Myotis davidii is the source of this 81-nucleotide non-coding RNA. NCBI's taxonomy places the organism in Eukaryota, Metazoa, Chordata, Mammalia, Chiroptera, Vespertilionidae. The record is from Rfam.
AGGCCUGAAGAGAGAGGCAGGGUCUGAUCCGCUGCCUCCGUGGCAGCUGUUGAUCAGCCGUUGCCUCUCUCUUUCUCUCCA